CAGCUUUCCACAGCUUCGUCCACAGUCCGUUAUGACAAAUAUGAGGACAAUGAUACCAGCUGGGUCCAGUGUCCUAGUCUGGGUGACCUGUCUGCUCCUGGCAUUUGUUACCACAGUCACUGGACCCAAAGUCAUUCAGCCUGAAGUGGAUACCCCCCUGGGUCGUGUUCGAGGCCGGCAGGUGGGUGUGAAGGACACAGACCGCAUGGUAAAUGUCUUCCUGGGCAUCCCCUUUGCUCAAGCACCAGUGGGACCUCUUCGGUUCUCAGCUCCACUCCCACCACAGCCCUGGGAAGGUGUGAGAGAUGCCAGCAUCAAUCCCCCAAUGUGCCUUCAGGAUGUAGAGAAAAUGAUCAACAGCAGAUUUGGCCUCAAUGAAAAGAUUAAAAUCUUCCCCAUUUCUGAGGACUGCCUGACCCUCAACAUCUACAGCCCCACUGAGAUCACUGCAGGGGACAAAAGGCCGGUCAUGGUAUGGAUCCACGGAGGCUCUCUGCUGGUUGGCUCCUCCACAUCUCAGGAUGGAUCAGCACUGGCCGCGUACGGGGAUGUGGUAGUUGUCACUGUCCAGUAUCGCCUUGGGAUCUUUGGCUUCCUCAGCACUGGAGACAAGCACAUGCCAGGCAACAGGGGAUUCCUGGAUGUGGUGGCUGCUCUUCGCUGGGUCCAGGGGAACAUAGCCCCCUUUGGGGGUGAUCCCAACUGUGUCACUAUCUUCGGUAACUCUGCUGGAGGCAUGAUUGUCUCAUCCCUGUUCCUGUCUCCAAUAUCUGCUGGGCUCUUCCACAGAGCCAUAUCCCAGAGUGGGAUUGUCACGACCAUUAUGAUGGAAGACAUGAAACCAUGGCCUGAAGCUCAGAACUUUGCCAAUUCUGUGGCCUGUGGCUCUGCAUCCCCAGCUGAGCUGGUCCAGUGUUUGCUGCAGAAGGAAGGAAAGGACCUUAUCAAGCAGAAAAACGUGAACAUUUCCUACAUAGUCAAUGACUCCUUCUUCCCACAAAGGCCAGAGAAGCUCCUAGCAGACCAGCAAUUCCCCACUGUGCCCUACCUUUUGGGAGUCACCAACCAUGAAUUUGGCUGGCUUCUACUCAAAGAACAUCCUCUUCCUCAAGCCUGAAGGUGAAGGAGAGUGAUUAAGCUAUCCAAUCUCCACAGUCCUUGAAUAUCCUGGAUAAGUUGGAACAUCUGAGCCGGGAAGACCUGUUGGAGAUUUCACGGCCCUUCUUGGCCAUUAUGGAAGUGCCCCCUGAGAUCAUGCCCACUGUCAUCGAUGAAUACCUAGACAAUGGCUCAGAUCAAUCAGCUACAAGGUAUGCCUUCCAGGAAUUGCUGGGUGAUAUCUCGUUCAUCAUUCCUACCUUGAACUUCUCAAAAUACCUUCGAGAUGCUGGGUGCCCUGUUUUCUUGUACGAGUUCCAGCAUACACCCAGUUCUUUUGCAAAGUUCAAGCCAGCCUGGGUGAAGGCUGACCAUGCGUCUGAGAAUUCCUUUGUUUUUGGAGGUCCUUUCCUCACUGAUGAGAGUUCCCUUCUGGCCUUCCCAGAGGCCACAGAGGAAGAGAAGCAGCUGAGCCUGACCAUGAUGGCCCAAUGGAGCCAGUUUGCACGCACAGGAAACCCCAAUGGCAAGGGGCUGCCUCCUUGGCCCCAAUUAAACCAGUUAGAACAAUACUUGGAGAUUGGUCUAGAAUCACGGACUGGGGUGAAGCUAAAGAAGGGUCGGCUACAGUUCUGGACAGAGACACUGCCAAGAAAAAUUCAAGAAUGGCACCGAGAGCAGAGAAGCAGGAAAGUUCCAGAGGAGCUCUGAGGCCAGACCUACCUAGACCUUACUGACUGGGCCAACCCAAGAAUAGUGGCACCCAAGCAGGGCAACUACAACUUCUUUUUGUUUCUGUUCAGAGACUUUAGCCUGGACCACGCUGCUGUGAGCCCAUGUUUCUUAAAUCAUCGGCCCCUGCAAGACCAGUAUGGUGAACCACUAAAUGUUAUCAAUCUGGUUUCUACUUCUUGAUCAUUGAACAUACUGCUGUUUCUUCCUAAAGUGACUUGAACCCUUGCUGUAUGGCAAGGUCCAGCACAUUAAUAAAGCUCUUCAGAGGAUCUGUUCUCUUGAGAAACCUCCUCUGCCUUCUCUAAGCUGCAUGCAUCCAUUAGAACCUGGUCUACCACAAGCUCAGACUGUCCAUGUCUGAGUCUUUGUCUUUCUCACUGAAGGUCUUUGAAAAUAAAAGCAGACUAUCGAAGAAAGAUAAGGCAGGACCUAGAGGCAAGGAGUGACAUACAGAAUCUAUGACUGGUGGAUCUGUGGAUUCUAGAUUUGAACCUAGACCCUUCAGGCACCAUGAUAAUGAUCCAUCCCCCAUGGAUGUCCACCAUGACCAGGAAGUUGACCUCCAAAUGCAGAGUUCUGGUGACGUGGAAAUAUUAUGACACAGGAAUCUCUAGAUUAUAAUAAACCUUAUUGCUAGCCAGGA
Molecule: RNA transcript, 2476 nt
Organism: Mus musculus (house mouse)
Lineage: Eukaryota; Metazoa; Chordata; Mammalia; Rodentia; Muridae
Gene: Ces3b
Gene name: carboxylesterase 3B
Exons: 13
Source: RefSeq, marked validated